This 941-nucleotide ribosomal RNA is filed under the name uncultured bacterium. RNAcentral's name for it is "bacterial SSU rRNA". It matches the Rfam family "Bacterial small subunit ribosomal RNA", at positions 54 to 987 of the family's 1533-position model. The record is from RNAcentral.
CAUGCAAGUCGAGGGGCAGCAUGAUUGAAGCUUGCUUCAAUUGAUGGCGACCGGCGCACGGGUGAGUAACGCGUAUCCAACCUUCCGUACACUCAGGGAUAGCCUUUCGAAAGAAAGAUUAAUACCUGAUGGUAUGAUGAGAUUGCAUGAUAGCAUCAUCAAAGAUUUAUCGGUGUACGAUGGGGAUGCGUUCCAUUAGGUAGUAGGCGGGGUAACGGCCCACCUAGCCUACGAUGGAUAGGGGUUCUGAGAGGAAGGUCCCCCACAUUGGAACUGAGACACGGUCCAAACUCCUACGGGAGGCAGCAGUGAGGAAUAUUGGUCAAUGGACGAGAGUCUGAACCAGCCAAGUAGCGUGAAGGAUGAAGGUCCUACGGAUUGUAAACUUCUUUUAUAAGGGAAUAAAACCUCCCACGUGUGGGAGCUUGUAUGUACCUUAUGAAUAAGCAUCGGCUAACUCCGUGCCAGCAGCCGCGGUAAUACGGAGGAUGCGAGCGUUAUCCGGAUUUAUUGGGUUUAAAGGGAGCGCAGACGGGUCGUUAAGUCAGCUGUGAAAGUUUGGGGCUCAACCUUAAAAUUGCAGUUGAUACUGGCGUCCUUGAGUGCGGUUGAGGUGUGCGGAAUUCGUGGUGUAGCGGUGAAAUGCUUAGAUAUCACGAAGAACUCCGAUUGCGAAGGCAGCACACUAAGCCGUAACUGACGUUCAUGCUCGAAAGUGUGGGUAUCAAACAGGAUUAGAUACCCUGGUAGUCCACACGGUAAACGAUGGAUACUCGCUGUUGGCGAUAUACAGUCAGCGGCUUAGCGAAAGCGUUAAGUAUCCCACCUGGGGAGUACGCCGGCAACGGUGAAACUCAAAGGAAUUGACGGGGGCCCGCACAAGCGGAGGAACAUGUGGUUUAAUUCGAUGAUACGCGAGGAACCUUACCCGGGCUUAAAUU